UUCUUCUUAUACCCUUGCAGGCAAAAUAAGGCAUACCUUUGUCUUUUCUCUAACAAACAGAAACAGGAAAGAAAUGCUAACCCGGAACAACGCCCAAAGAAAGCAAGGCAGGAUCCUGUGCGUAAAUAACUGGCCGAGAAUCCUGGAACGUAAGCUGUGACUUUAUUAAAUAUUAUAGUAAACCAACUCACUAUCCACAUUCCCUAAUACAUAUAUGCAAAAAUCCGCUUCCGGAAUAGCUUUGAUUGUCAUAGGCUUCCACUAGCAUUGACUAGCUUUCGUAGCUUUCCAUUAGCAUAGGCUUCCAUUGUUUCGACAGUCCUAG
RNAcentral lists this unclassified non-coding RNA (325 nucleotides) under Hevea brasiliensis (rubber tree). The record is from RNAcentral. Lineage: Eukaryota; Viridiplantae; Streptophyta; Magnoliopsida; Malpighiales; Euphorbiaceae.